This 346-nucleotide ribosomal RNA is filed under the name Epiperipatus sp. ony155. RNAcentral describes it as "partial large subunit ribosomal RNA". The record is from RNAcentral. Lineage: Eukaryota; Metazoa; Onychophora; Udeonychophora; Euonychophora; Peripatidae.
AGACUAGAAUGAAUGGAUUAAUGGGGCAUUACUUUCUUAGAUUAAAUAUUAAAAAUAAUUUUUUUAGUGAAGAAACUAAGAUAAUUUUGAGGGACGAGAAGACCCUAUUAAGCUUAAUAAAAAUAUUUUGUUGGGGAAAUAAAAGAAAAAAUUUUCUUUUUAAAAAAGUUUUGAUAAAAUUUGAUUUUUUUUUAAAAAUAAAAGAAUAAGUUACUAUAGGGAUAACAGCAUAAUUUUUUUUAAAAGUUCUUAUUUACAAAAAAGAUUAUGACCUCGAUGUUGGAUUAAAAUAAUUAUAUAAUGAAGUUGUUGUAUAAAUUAGUCUGUUCGACUAUUAAAUUUUUAC